Molecule: ribosomal RNA, 511 nt
Filed under: uncultured bacterium
Lineage: Bacteria
Description: partial 16S ribosomal RNA
Rfam family: Bacterial small subunit ribosomal RNA
Source: RNAcentral
GACAAACGCUGGCGGCAUGCCUAACACAUGCAAGUCGAACGGACAGAACAGGGAAGCUUUUCGGUGUGGAACUGGAAAGUUAGUGGCGGAUGGGUGAGUAACGCGUGGACAACCUACCUUGUAAAGGGGAAUAACCUCGAGAAAUCGAAGCUAAUACCCCAUAAUAACCUUGCUUCGCAUGAAGUAAGGAGGAAAGGCGGCCUUAGCGCUGUCGAUACAAGAUGGGUCCGCGUCUGAUUAGCUAGUUGGUGAGGUAAAGGCUCACCAAGGCGACGAUCAGUAGCCGGCCUGAGAGGGUGAACGGCCACAUUGGGACUGAGACACGGCCCAAACUCCUACGGGAGGCAGCAGUGGGGAAUCUUCCGCAAUGGGCGAAAGCCUGACGGAGCAAUGCCGCGUGAGUGAAGAAGGCCUUCGGGUUGUAAAACUCUGUCCUUAUCGAAGAGAGAGUGUUGUAGUAACUGACAAUACUAGGACGGUAGAUGAGGAGGAAGCCCCGGCUAACUAUGUG